This 1472-nucleotide ribosomal RNA is filed under the name uncultured Bordetella sp. Its description in RNAcentral is "partial 16S-23S ribosomal RNA intergenic spacer". It matches the Rfam family "Bacterial small subunit ribosomal RNA". The record is from RNAcentral. Lineage: Bacteria; Pseudomonadati; Pseudomonadota; Betaproteobacteria; Burkholderiales; Alcaligenaceae.
GGUUCGAUCAUGGCUCAGAUUGAACGCUGGCGGAUGUUUUUUACACAUGCAAGUCGAACGGCAGCACGGACUUCCGGUCUGGUGGCGAGUGGCGAACGGGUGAGUAAUGUAUCGGAACGUGCCUAGUAGCGGGGGGAUAACUACGCGAAAGCGUAGCCAAUACCGCAUACCGCCCUUCGGGGGAAAGCGGGGGACCUUCGGGCCUCGCACUAUUAGAGCGGCCGAUAUCGGAUUAGCUAGUUGGUGGGGUAACGGCUCACCAAGGCGACGAUCCGUAGCUGGUUUGAGAGGACGACCAGCCACACUGGGACUGAGACACGGCCCAGACUCCUACGGGAGGCAGCAGGGGGAACUUGGACAAUGGGGAAACUCCCAGCCAUCCCGCGUGUGCGAUGAAGGCCUUCGGUUGUGGUGCCACCCCGGGCAGGAAGAAACGCAGGCACGGAUAAUACCUGUGCAACUGACGGUACCUGCAGAAUAAGCACCGGCUAACUACGUGCCAGCAGCCGCGGUAAUACGUAGGUGCAAGCGUUAAUCGGAAUACUGGGCGUAAAGCGUGCGCAGGCGGUUCGGAAAGAAAGAUGUGAAAUCCCAGAGCUUAACUUUGGAACUGCAUUUUUAACUACCGAGCUAGAGUGUGCCAGAGGGAGGUGGAAUUCCGCGUGUAGCAGUGAAAUGCGUAGAUAUGCGGAGGAACACCGAUGGCGAAGGCGGCCUCCUGGGAUAACACCGGACGCUCAUGCACGAAAGCGUGGGGAGCAAACAGGAUUAGAUACCCUGGUAGUCCACGCCCUAAACGAUGUCAACUAGCUGUUGGGGCCUUCGGGCCUUGUAGCGCAGCUAACGCGUGAAGUUGACCGCCUGGGGAGUACGGUCGCAAGAUUAAAACUCAAAGGAAUUGACGGGGACCCGCACAGCGGUGGAUGAUGUGGAUUAAUUCGAUGCAACGCGAAAACCUUACCUACCCUUGACAUGUCUGGAAUCCCGAAGAGAUUUGGGAGUGCUCGCAAGAGAACCGGAACACAGGUGCUGCAUGGCUGUCGUCAGCUCGUGUCGUGAGAUGCUGGGUUAAGUCCCGCAACGAGCGCAACCUUGUCAUUAGUUGCUACGAAAGGGCACCCUAAUGAGACUGCCGGUGACAAACCGGAGGAAGGUGGGGAUGCACGUCAAGUCCUCAUGGCUUCUGCGGCAGGGUCCACACGUCAUACAAUGGUCGGGACAGAGGUCACAACUCCGCGAGGGGGAGCCAAUCCCAGAAACCCGAUCGAACUGGAUCGCAGUCUGCAACUCGACUGCGUGAAGUCGGAAUCGCUAGUAAUCGCGGACUGCAUGUCGCGGUGAAUACGUUCCCGGGUCUUGUACACACUGCCCGUCACACCAUGGGAGUGGGUUUUACCAGAAGUAGUUAGCCUAACCGUAAGGAGGGCGACACGGGUAGGAUUCACGACUGGGGUGAAGUCGCACACAGUAAA